CGGCGUGCCUCAUUCCCGCCCGCCUUGCCUUUCCCCCCCUCUUCUUUCGCGGAAGGCGCCGCUUUCGGUCCGACUUGUUGGAGGCGGCUGUCUGGCUUCCAGCGACGGCAGCCGGCGAGGUUGCUGCCUCCUCACAGCAUGGGCAGCCCGUUGAGCGCGGCGACUCCUGCCGGUCUUUGGAGCUGCCUCCGGGAGCUGCUCGGUUGAGGCGCAGCCGGUCGGGAGAGCGCGGCUCCAGUGCCGGGCGGCGGCGGCGGCGGCAGCGCCUGCAACCCGAAAAGAGAGCCGCGCACACAAAGGCGCGCCCGGCUCCUCCUCAAGCCUUCCAACUUGGAUUUGGCAGUUCUAUCCAGAACUAGAAUCAUUGAAUGCCAGGGGAGCCAGUACAAUUUUUGUAUGGAUAUGCUUACAGACAUACAUUCUUCCUGUUUUUAGAGCAUUUUAUGGUACUUGAAGAAAUCCUGCAGGGGAUAAGUGUCCCAGUUAUCAAGGAAUUAUCAUAUGAAUCACUACAGAUUUUGUAAGGAUUCUAUAUGCGGAGUGGAGAUGUCCAAAACUUAGUCUUUGUACUUCUUAGUUGCUGCCCUUUCAUUCUUUCAUAAAAACU
Thamnophis sirtalis is the source of this 607-nucleotide non-coding RNA. The record is from RefSeq and is a predicted model, not a curated record. NCBI's taxonomy places the organism in Eukaryota, Metazoa, Chordata, Lepidosauria, Squamata, Natricidae.